GACGAACGCUGGCGGCGUGCUUAACACAUGCAAGUCGAACGGAAAGGCCCUGCUUUUGUGGGGUGCUCGAGUGGCGAACGGGUGAGUAACACGUGAGUAACCUGCCCUUGACUUUGGGAUAACUUCAGGAAACUGGGGCUAAUACCGGAUAGGAGCUCCUGCUGCAUGGUGGGGGUUGGAAAGGUUGGGCGGUUGGGGAUGGACUCGCGGCUUAUCAGCUUGUUGGUUGGGUAGUGGCUUACCAAGGCUUUGACGGGUAGCCGGCCUGAGAGGGUGACCGGCCACAUUGGGACUGAGAUACGGCCCAGACUCCUACGGGAGGCAGCAGUGGGGAAUAUUGCACAAUGAGCGGAAGCAUGAUGCAGCAACGCCGCGUGAGGGAUAACGGCCUUCGAGUUGUAAACCGCUUUCGCCUGUGACGAAGCGUGAGUGACAGUAAUGGGUAAAGAAGCACCGGCUAACUACGUG
This 468-nucleotide ribosomal RNA is filed under the name uncultured bacterium. RNAcentral describes it as "partial 16S ribosomal RNA". It matches the Rfam family "Bacterial small subunit ribosomal RNA", at positions 28 to 507 of the family's 1533-position model. The record is from RNAcentral.